GGAUGAACGCUGGCGGUGUGCCUAAUACAUGCAAGUCGAACGGGCUCUUCGGAGCUAGUGGCGGACGGGUGAGUAACACGUUGGUACCUACCCCUAAGUGGGGAAUAACUGCCCGAAAGGGUGGCUAAUACCGCAUAAUCCCGCAAGGGUAAAGCAGUAAUGCGCUUAGGGAGGGGCCUGCGUCUGAUUAGCUAGUUGGUGAGGUAAUUGCUCACCAAGGCGACGAUCAGUAGCNGGAUCGAGAGGUUGACCAGCCACACUGGGACUGAGAUACGGCCCAGACUCCUACGGGAGGCAGCAGUAAGGAAUCUUCCACAAUGGACGAAAGUCUGAUGGAGCAACACCGCGUGCAGGAUGACGGCCUUGGUU
This 369-nucleotide ribosomal RNA is filed under the name uncultured bacterium. Its description in RNAcentral is "bacterial SSU rRNA". It matches the Rfam family "Bacterial small subunit ribosomal RNA", at positions 27 to 424 of the family's 1533-position model. The record is from RNAcentral.